CCUACGGGUGGCAGCAGUGAGGAAUAUUGGUCAAUGGACGAGAGUCUGAACCAGCCACGUAGCGUGAAGGAUGACUGCCCUAUGGGUUGUAAACUUCUUUUAUAAAGGAAUAAAACGAGGCACGUGUGCCUUUUUGCAUGUACUUUAUGAAUAAGGAUAGGAUAACUCCGUGCCCGCCGCCGCGGUAAUACGGUGGAUGCGAGCGUUAUCCGGAUUUAUGGGGUUUAAAGGGACCGUAGAUGGGUUGUUAAGUCAGUUGUGAAAGUUUGCGGCUCAACCGGAAAAUUGCAAUUGAUACUGGCAGUCUUGAGUACAGGAGAGGUAGGCGGAAUUCGUGGUGGAGCAGUGAAAUGCUUAGAUAUCACGAAGAACCCCGAUUGCGAAGGCAGCUUACUAAACUGUGACUGACAUUGAUGCUCGAAAGUGUGGGUAUCAAACAGGAUUAGAUACCCUAGUAGUC
This 460-nucleotide ribosomal RNA is filed under the name uncultured bacterium. RNAcentral describes it as "partial 16S ribosomal RNA". It matches the Rfam family "Bacterial small subunit ribosomal RNA", at positions 338 to 795 of the family's 1533-position model. The record is from RNAcentral.